RNAcentral lists this ribosomal RNA (243 nucleotides) under uncultured bacterium. Its description in RNAcentral is "partial small subunit ribosomal RNA". It matches the Rfam family "Bacterial small subunit ribosomal RNA", at positions 26 to 285 of the family's 1533-position model. The record is from RNAcentral.
AGAAUCAACGCUGGCGGCGUGCCUAACACAUGCAAGUCGAACGAGAAAGUGGAGCAAUCCAUGAGUACAGUGGCGUACGGGUGAGUAACACGUGACUAACCUACCCUCGAGUGGGGAAUAACCUCGGGAAACCGGGCUAAUACCGCAUAACAUCUACGGAUCAAAUGCGUAAGCAGCUUGAGGAGGGGUCGCGGCCGAUUAGCUAGUUGGCGGGGUAAUGGCCCACCAAGGCAAUGAUCGGUA